This 378-nucleotide ribosomal RNA is filed under the name Strombidiidae sp. RNAcentral describes it as "partial small subunit ribosomal RNA". It matches the Rfam family "Eukaryotic small subunit ribosomal RNA", at positions 582 to 975 of the family's 1831-position model. The record is from RNAcentral. Lineage: Eukaryota; Ciliophora; Spirotrichea; Strombidiidae.
AUUCCAGCUCCAAUAGCGUAUAUUAAAGUUGUUGCAGUUAAAAAGCUCGUAGUUGGAUUUCUGACAGGGGGCCGAACACCACUGUAGUGAGUGUUUUGGUACCUGUCAUCCUUCUGUUAACCCUAGCGUCAUUCAUUUGUCGUUGGGCGGACCAGAUACUUUACCUUGAGAAAAUUAGAGUGUUUCAGGCAGGCCUAGCCGGAAUACAUUAGCAUGGAAUAAUGGAAUAGGACUAUAGUCUCGUCGUUGGUUACGUGGACUGCAGUAAUGAUUAAUAGGGUUAGUUGGGGGCAUUAGUAUUUAUUAGCUAGAGGUGGAAUUCUCUAAUUUGAUAAAGACUAAUUUAUGCGAAAGCAUUUGCCAAGGAUGUUUUCAUCA